GAACGCGAAGAACCUUACCAAGGCUUGACAUGCACGGCGGCACUGCAGAGAUGUGGUGGCAUUUAGUUGGUCGUGUGCAGGUGGUGCAUGGUUGUCGUCAGCUCGUGUCGUGAGAUGUCGGGUUAAGUCCCGCAACGAGCGCAACCCUUGCCCUAUGUUGCCAGCACGUGAUGGUGGGGACUCGUGGGGGACUGCCGGGGUUAACUCGGAGGAAGGUGGGGAUGACGUCAAAUCAUCAUGCCCCUUAUGUCUUGGGCUUCACGCAUGCUACAAUGGUUGGUACAGAGGGUUGCGAAAUCGUGAGGUGGAGCGAAUCCCUUAAAGCCAGUCUCAGUUCGGAUUGGGGUCUGCAACUCGACCCCAUGAAGGUGGAGUCGCUAGUAAUCGCAGAUCAGCAACGCUGCGGUGAAUACGUUCUCGGGUCUUGUACACACC
This 435-nucleotide ribosomal RNA is filed under the name uncultured bacterium. RNAcentral describes it as "bacterial SSU rRNA". It matches the Rfam family "Bacterial small subunit ribosomal RNA", at positions 957 to 1391 of the family's 1533-position model. The record is from RNAcentral.